UACGGAAGGCAGCAGUGGGGAAUAUUGCACAAUGGGCGCAAGCCUGAUGCAGCCAUGCCGCGUGUAUGAAGAAGGCCUUCGGGUUGUAAAGUACUUUCAGUCGUGGGGAAGGUGUUAAGGUUAAUAACCUUAGCAAUUGACGUUAGCGACAGAAGAAGCACCGGCUAACUCCGUGCCAGCAGCCGCGGUAAUACGGAGGGUGCGAGCGUUAAUCGGAAUUACUGGGCGUAAAGGGCACGCAGGCGGUUAAUUAAGUUGGAUGUGAAAUCCCCGGGCUUAACCUGGGAAUGGCAUUCAAGACUGGUUAGCUAGAGUCUUGUAGAGGGGGGUAGAAUUCCAUGUGUAGCGGUGAAAUGCGUAGAGAUGUGGAGGAAUACCGGUGGCGAAGGCGGCCCCUGGACAAAGACUGACGCUCAUGUGCGAAAGCGUGGGGAGCAAACAGGGAUUAGAUACC
Molecule: ribosomal RNA, 454 nt
Filed under: uncultured bacterium
Lineage: Bacteria
Description: bacterial SSU rRNA
Rfam family: Bacterial small subunit ribosomal RNA
Source: RNAcentral